CCUACGGGCGGCAGCAGUGAGGAAUAUUGGUCAAUGGGCGGAAGCCUGAACCAGCCAAGUCGCGUGAGGGAUUAAGGCCCUGCGGGUCGUAAACCUCUUUUGCCGGGGAGCAGAGGUCCGGACGUGUCCGGGCCGGGAGAGUACCCGGAGAAAAAACAUCGGCUAACUCCGUGCCAGCAGCCGCGGUAAUACGGAGGAUGCGAGUGUUAUCCGGUUUUAUUGGGGUAAAAGGGUGCGUAAGCGGGCAGUAAAGCCGGCGUUCAAAGGUCGGGCCUCAACCCGGGACUGCCGUGGGAACUGGGUGCCUUGAGUGGGCGAGAAGUAUGCGGAAUGCGUGGUGUAGCGGUGAAAUGCAUAGAUAUCAGGCAGAACCCCGAUUGCGAAGGCAGCAUACCGGCGCCCUACUGACGCUGAGGCACGAAAGUGCGGGUAGCGAACAGGAUUAGAUACCCGAGUAGUC
RNAcentral lists this ribosomal RNA (460 nucleotides) under uncultured bacterium. Its description in RNAcentral is "partial 16S ribosomal RNA". It matches the Rfam family "Bacterial small subunit ribosomal RNA", at positions 338 to 795 of the family's 1533-position model. The record is from RNAcentral.